ACAAAAUACCUACGAAAACAACACACCUUAAUGGACAAGAAGAACGGGGAGAGCCUGGCUUUCCUCCCCACACUCGCCCUACCUGCCAGCAGCUGUCUUUGGAAGAGCUGGCCCUCACUGGCAUAGUUCCCAGGCAAGAUUUGGCUUCUACAGCACCCUCUCUGUUGCAUUGAAGAUGGCCUGUCUUCCUAUGUCCUUCACACAUCAACAUCCCUGGUGUCUCUUAAUGAUACUAGGUGACAGCUACUCCACAUCUCCUGCUGCCACGAUGAACUAUACCACUGCGCUGUGAACCAAGAGAAACCUUUCCAUUGAGCUGAUAUUUUGGAAGAAAACACUGUGAAUCUCAUGUGGGAACCCAAUGUGUAGAAAGCAUGUGGCCCAGAAGAAGGAGUAGCCUUGAGAUGUUUCAUUUGAGGGGAAGGAGCAGGCAUAUUCAGCUUUGGAACUUGGACUUUAUGGGACUCAGUUCUCAUAUAUUCUCCAGGGAGAAGAUUCCCAUCCCUGAAAUAUGACCUCCAAAACCUGCUGCCUAUCACUGAAUACAGCAGCCUGCUAGCAGUCUCUGGUCCAAACCCUGAGGCUUCUGAGGUUCUGGGUUAGAUCUCCUCAGGACUGGGGAUCUGGCUUUGCUGUGAACCAUUCCAAGCACCUGUCUUAGUUUAAAUGAUGAGCCCUUGGGAUUCUCACAUGUCCUGACUUAUAUAUAGGGCUACACUGACCAUGAUUGGAGCUACUGGCCAUUUCAAGGAAAAGGCACGGUGUCACCAUCUACCCAGUCUGGGAUGUAAGUCUGAGGCACCGUGAGCAAAUCUCAGCAUCCACUCACUAUGCUGCAGGACCUGCCCAUGCUCACUGGUACUACUGCUGGGCCUGCAACCUUUAUCCCAAGGAUAACAACCACCUCAAUUUCUGCACUAUAACUCUUUUGCUUCUCUUUGAUGUAGAACUCAUAACAUAGCCCAGGUUAACGUGGAAUUCCCAGUAAUCCUUCUGCUUCAGCCCCCAAGUACUGUGACUACAGGCAUGGAACCA
Molecule: long non-coding RNA, 1035 nt
Organism: Myodes glareolus (Bank vole)
Lineage: Eukaryota; Metazoa; Chordata; Mammalia; Rodentia; Cricetidae
Source: RefSeq, a predicted model, not a curated record